UACAGAGGUCCCAAGCGUUGUUCGGAUUCACUGGGCGUAAAGGGUGCGUAGGUGGUCAGGUAAGUCUGAUGUGAAAUCUCUGAGCUUAACUCAGAAACUGCAUUGGAUACUAUCUGGCUAGAGAGUCGGAGGGGGGACUGGAAUACUUGGUGUAGCAGUGAAAUGCGUAGAUAUCAAGUGGAACACCAGUGGCGAAGGCGAGUCCCUGGACGACUUCUGACACUGAGGCACGAAAGCUAGGGGAGCAAACAGG
This 253-nucleotide ribosomal RNA is filed under the name uncultured bacterium. RNAcentral describes it as "partial 16S ribosomal RNA". It matches the Rfam family "Bacterial small subunit ribosomal RNA", at positions 524 to 776 of the family's 1533-position model. RNAcentral also lists the same sequence under 1 other name. The record is from RNAcentral.